UAUUAGACUGCCUGGGCUGAGUCCUGAGGGCACCUCUUGCUUGCUUGAAUGACUUCGGGCAAGUUACUUCACCUCUCCAAGAUGUCAUCGGGGCUCAUCAAAGUACCCGCCCCAUGAGGUCUCCUUGUGAGAACAACAUGAGAAAAGCCUGUGCAAAAUGCUUGCCUGCCACGUAGAAAAAAAGCUUCCAUAAAUGUUGGUUCAUAUUGUGAGCUUUCAAAUCAACCAAGUGUGAAUAAUUUCUACUUCAUUCCAUUGGCUAUGGCAGGGGAAUACAAAGAUUUGUCAGAGCCAUUUCCAGCCUACAGGAGUUUACAGCUAUCUGACUUUACAGCUACGAGUGCCGUGAGAGAGCUACAAACCCAAUGCUGCAGGUGUUCAAAGUCAGAGAUUUAAUAACCACGGAGCCGGGAAUUAGGGAAAGCCUAAUGGUGAAUGGAUUUAAGCUGACCCCGGUGGAAUAUGAAGUACAAAGCUGACUUCCCUGCAACUCUGUCUGGUGACAUCCUUUUCUUUUUCCAAAGAGAUACUCAAGACUCAGAGAGAUUCAAAACCACCCAAGGGUCACAGGUGGUUUAUCAAAACCCCCACCCCACCCCCCAAAUACACACCAAAAAGCUAGGUUUAAUAAUCCAUGACUCAGAACCUGGAAGGCUCUCUGCAGGGCUGAGGGGCCUCGCCGGCUGUCUAUGACUGCUGCCCGCCUAGCAGGCACUGACCCAGGCCCCAGGCUCCAGGACAGUGUGCUGUCAGCCAGAGGCAGCUGUCAGCCAGACUGCUCCCCUCCUCUCAGCCUGGCAGGGGUACUCAGGGUAGUUCUCUCUGUUGGGGACCCUAAGCAUGAAACAGUAUUGGAGGAGGCUGUGCUGAGAAACCCACUGAGGGAGGAAGGCUGACGGUCUGUGUUCUUCUAGUGGUCUCUCUUCACCCUUUGUUCUCCUAGCAUAAAGCUUUCACGAUGGAGAUGCCUUCCCCAUCAUCUGCAGUUUUUCUUCGCUCAAAACAAGCUUCUGAGACAUCUUUCCGGGGAGCUUUGGUCAUUAGAGCUUGGGAGAGGGAGGCCCUUCUCUUCCGGUGUCCUCACAGGGUCUCUGUCAUUUAGAUUCUUGUUGAACAACUGGGCUUUGGAGGGGGUUGGAGGAGACAGUGAGUGAUGGUGCUGGGGCCCAGGGCCAUUCCAAGCAGAAGAAAGGCACUAGCAGGGGCAUGAGGCAGGACAGCCCAGGGCAUGUGUGGACAUCUGGGAAGAGUCUGUCUAUAUUCUGACUAGGAAGUGUACAUGUGAAGGAGUGAGAGGUUAGACUUGAAAGAUGAGGGUAGGUGUGGGCCAGACUGCAGAGGGUUGUCCUUACUGCAGUGGAUCACGGGGAACCAUGGAAGCUUCCAGAACAAGAAGUGAGCUGAGACAACAACUGUG
Molecule: long non-coding RNA, 1417 nt
Filed under: Homo sapiens (human)
Lineage: Eukaryota; Metazoa; Chordata; Mammalia; Primates; Hominidae
Description: long non-coding RNA NONHSAT150630
Source: RNAcentral